GACGAACGCUGGCGGCGUGCUUAAUACAUGCAAGUCGAACGGACGGACCCGAAUUUUGUGUCGUUGAUGUUUGCCGAGCGCGUGUGUAACACGUGAGUAACCUCCCCUUAUCUUUGGGGUAAAAUCUGGGGACUCGGGCUAUUAUCCGGUAGAAGCUUCUGCUGCAUGUUGUGGGUAGGAAAGUUUCGGCGGUUGGGGAUCGACUCGCGGCUUAUGAGCUUGUUUGGGGGGUAGUGGGUUACUAAGGGUUCGACGGGUAGCCGGCCUGGGAGGGUGACCGGAUACAUUGGGACUGAGAUACGGCCCAGACUGCUAUGGGCGGCAGCAGUGGGGAAUAUUGCACAAUGGGGGGAAGCCUGAUGUAGAGACGCAGCGUGCGGGAUGCCGGGCUUCGGGUUGUAAACCGCUUUGGCAUGUGACGAAGCGUGAGUGACGGUAAUUGGUAAGAAAGCACCGGCUAACUACGUG
This 468-nucleotide ribosomal RNA is filed under the name uncultured bacterium. Its description in RNAcentral is "partial 16S ribosomal RNA". It matches the Rfam family "Bacterial small subunit ribosomal RNA", at positions 28 to 507 of the family's 1533-position model. The record is from RNAcentral.